RNAcentral lists this ribosomal RNA (207 nucleotides) under Salmonella enterica subsp. enterica serovar Anatum. RNAcentral's name for it is "partial 23S ribosomal RNA". It matches the Rfam family "Bacterial large subunit ribosomal RNA", at positions 462 to 657 of the family's 2925-position model. Lineage: Bacteria; Pseudomonadati; Pseudomonadota; Gammaproteobacteria; Enterobacterales; Enterobacteriaceae. The record is from RNAcentral. RNAcentral also lists the same sequence under 1 other name.
AAGGCUAAAUACUCCUGACUGACCGAUAGUGAACCAGUACCGUGAGGGAAAGGCGAAAAGAACCCCGGCGAGGGGAGUGAAAAAGAACCUGAAACCGUGUACGUACAAGCAGUGGGAGCCCCACCACUAAGCCAGUGGUGAACUCCACAUACGCAUCCUUUGCUGAGGAUACGGUUAACGGAGCGAAAGCGACGUUCAACCGCAAAA